AAGCCAUACCCAACCCAAAUCAACAACCUGCAACUACCCCAAUGUCUGUCCGCAAUCCCUUGGCCACUGCCUCGCCGAUCGGGGGACGGUCUCCGGCCAACUCCUCAGUCCACCGCUACCCCCGUUCCACUUAGCUGCUGACAAGGAGCAAAACCCAGAAGCCUUGAAGCCCGACGACGCCGUACGCGCCGCCGCUGGAGCGUCGGCAGCCUUAGCUCUGCCGUGAGCUACGUUGGUUCUAACUCCUCACUUGGUAAGCUACGUUUCACUCUUUACUCCUAGUAGAGUCCACUAUUUUGGAAUCGGUUGAGAUAGCUAACUAUGCUGUUUUGGGUAUAUGUGAGGUUUGGUGUUAAUCGGUUUUUGGGUACGAAAUGGAAUUGAGAAGCUAACGCAGCAUCAAUUACGGUUUAUUUGACCAGCAAUUGGAGUAGCAGAGGCUAGGGAGGAUUCGCAGAAGGUGAGCUUGGUGUGGAUGACAAUAUGAAGCUCAAAAGUCAUAAUUUUGGAAGAGGAUAGUGGUAUAAUGAAGAGCGAAGAGGAUGAGAUGAAUGAUCUUGAGGCAUUGCUAAGUAAGAAGACUUAUGAGGAGUUACAGAAGUCGAAAACUAGGGAGUAGCUUUUGGACCUUAUUCAUAGGCUAACUGAAAAGGAGACUGCUGUGGCGGCCAACAAGUGGGGAACUAGGGCUGGUCUGACUUACACAGCCGAGGAAAUUGAUGAGAUUUGAGGAGAGUGGGCAGAGCAUGUGUUACAGUUUCCGAACCAGUAAAAUCAGACUUGAUGUUGGUUUAUGGUAGUAUAGCUCAUACAUAAGGGUGCUGCUUUACUGCAUUAUAACUUUGGAACAUGAUAAAUAGUUAUGACUAGUAUGCCUAUUUUGUGGGUCUGAUGCCAACUAGGUAGCUAAGUUAUUCUAUGUUGAACAAAUUUACUUAUGCGCGCGAACGUAUAUUUUUGUUUAUAUAUGUUGUGUACUUGGAAAUGCCUACAAGGCUUUUGUUUAAUUUAAGUAGUAUGAUCUACAAGUUUAAUGCA
This is an RNA transcript of Fragaria vesca subsp. vesca, 1038 nucleotides long. RefSeq lists it as uncharacterized. The record is from RefSeq and is a predicted model, not a curated record. The transcript is spliced from 4 exons. NCBI's taxonomy places the organism in Eukaryota, Viridiplantae, Streptophyta, Magnoliopsida, Rosales, Rosaceae.